GAGUACACUAUAUUCUUAUUUGAAAUUGAACAUAGGUAACUAUACAUUUAUUCAGUAAUCAAAUUAGGAUAUUUUUAUUAAAAUAUCCUUUUCCCUGUUCUACUAAUAAUUUGUUUUUUACUCUAUUUCUCUCUUCUUUUAAGAAUGUACUUGCUCU
Molecule: ribosomal RNA, 157 nt
Filed under: Plasmodium falciparum (malaria parasite P. falciparum)
Lineage: Eukaryota; Apicomplexa; Aconoidasida; Haemosporida; Plasmodiidae
Description: partial 18S ribosomal RNA
Source: RNAcentral